Molecule: small RNA, 34 nt
Filed under: Arabidopsis thaliana (thale cress)
Lineage: Eukaryota; Viridiplantae; Streptophyta; Magnoliopsida; Brassicales; Brassicaceae
Description: ATSL279250
Source: RNAcentral
AUUUCAUCUUCUCCUUGGAGCCUAUAAUAUAAUC